Molecule: long non-coding RNA, 737 nt
Organism: Triticum dicoccoides
Lineage: Eukaryota; Viridiplantae; Streptophyta; Magnoliopsida; Poales; Poaceae
Exons: 4
Source: RefSeq, a predicted model, not a curated record
CAUAACCGUCGCAGAACCGACCAGUGCGCGGCGCCUCUCCCACCGUGACUCGCGACGCCAGCAGCACCUCCCACCCCCUCCUAUCAUCUCCCUAUCCCUACCCAGCGGACGACCAUGCACGCCCUUGAUCCGGAUGGCACCGCCGAGCCCAUGGUUCUCCUCCCCAGGUCACCGGAUGCAGCCAAGAUCCGUCCCGUCCUCCCACAUCGGCAACCAUGGUAGUCCUCUGCACCCAAGCUUUGCCCAUAAGCUCCAUGUGCAUUAGCAGAUUUCAGACGGCGAUUUGGAUCGAGCAAGCCACGGGACUUGCCGGCAACACCCAGUCUUUGAUCUGGUUUGUUCUUCGUCUCAGACGUUCUGGUGUACCAAAUCCAUCUGCACUGCAUACAUUGGGAUUGAAACGAUGCCAUGAUAGUGGGCAUUCACGCUUCAGAUUUCUUAACUCAGCAUCAUUGGAUCGAAGAUGGUUAGGAGGUUGAAGAUAUGUCGCGUGAAAGGCGUGGGGAGGCAAGGACGGGACACGCAGGACGCUGCAGUGGAGGACGAACACCACAGCAAGGUACGGUGGUGAUGAAGUUUUAAAAUGGUCCAUUGCCCAACAAGGGCAUCCUAAUUUCUUACUGGAAUAUACUGUAACAAUAUGAUAUCGAAAUUUCAAAUGGUUGUAUAUUUGACCCAUACUAUGAUAGACCAAGGCCUGCGUGGACAUGUUGUUCACAUACUAUAAUUCAUUUACA